UUCAGUGGCGAUAGCUACGAGGGUCCACCUGUUCCCAUCUCGAACACAGUUAGAUUAAGCUCGUAAACGCCGAAAGUACUUGGCUGGAGACGGCCUGGGAGGAUAGGAAGUCGCUGAUU
This 119-nucleotide ribosomal RNA is filed under the name Veillonella atypica. Lineage: Bacteria; Bacillati; Bacillota; Negativicutes; Veillonellales; Veillonellaceae. The record is from RNAcentral.